CAAUAAUGUAUAGCAACUUGCUAUGACUCGAAUAUUUUCUGUAUCCCUAAUUAUAAGAACCACAAAGACCCUGAGAAGCAAAGGCAUUCACUCAAGGUUCCAGCAGAAAACAUGUAUUACAACUUUUGGGGUUAGGGGGUGUCAUCCCUUUCUAGACCAUCAACAAUUUGGUUUAGACCACCAGUCCAGUUCCCCUGACCCCAUGGUUUUCCAGUCAGGGUUUCUCUGCAUAUCCCUGACUGUCCUGGAACUUGCUCAGUUGACUAGAGCAGCCUCGAACUCACGGAGAUACACCUCUCUCAGCCUGCCUCGCACUAGGAUUAGUGUGCACCACCACUUCGCAGCACCGUCCACCUCUUACCUACUGGCUACCUCAUGCUCUGAUCUGCUCAGUAGCUCCCUAGUCCAACGAUGCCUACAUUCCUUCUCCUGGCUUCUUGUCAGCACCAUAUCCUGUGUCAAUUCUGGCCCAGCUGCUGACUUAUCACUUAACUUCAGCUUAAACUUUUCACCAGAAACACUCCCAAUCCCUAUACUUUAAACUCAAAUGAGUUUACACA
Molecule: long non-coding RNA, 560 nt
Filed under: Rattus norvegicus (Norway rat)
Lineage: Eukaryota; Metazoa; Chordata; Mammalia; Rodentia; Muridae
Description: long non-coding RNA NONRATT005453
Source: RNAcentral